UUCAAUUUCAUCCUCAAUUCUAAUUUGUUAUAUAGAUAUUUUUCAAUUUGUUCCAUCUUCUUUUGAUUUCUAGUUUUUUCUUUGGCUCUUUUGUUAGGGUUUUGAUGGUUUUCAAUUUCAUCCUUCAAUCUAAGUUUGUUAUAUUUUUUUUCUAAUUUGGUCCUCAUAUUUUUAAUUUUUUUUUAAUUUUGUUAUUUUUUUGUUUUCAAUUUAACCUUAUGAUAAAAGAAUUGUUUGUGCCUUCUAAUUUAUUUAUUUUUACCCUCAUUCUUUUAAUUACUUUAUUUUAUUUUCAAUCCUUUCAUUUAAUUGGGUUUUUUUUCCCCGAUUUCAUCAUUUGGCAUUUGAUUUGUUGAGAAUUUAACUUCUCG
This 371-nucleotide long non-coding RNA is filed under the name Populus trichocarpa (black cottonwood). RNAcentral describes it as "long non-coding RNA (PTRI_LNC000375)". The record is from RNAcentral. Lineage: Eukaryota; Viridiplantae; Streptophyta; Magnoliopsida; Malpighiales; Salicaceae.